AUUUGACCUAGAAAACUCUGAUGCAGACUUGAUUUUAUGACCUUCAGCAAAUUCUUUACUCUUUCUGUGCUUUGGUUUCAGUCUACUUACUACUGGUAUGCAUAUCUUCCUAGCUUGGAAGGGGUGGCAUGGUGAAGGACACUUGGCAACACCACUGUUUUGAAUUGGGCCUUAACCAGAUUUUCUACCUCAAGGUGAUGCACCACAAUAAGAUUCCUGGUCAGACAGAGAGAGUGGAAUCAGGGAUCUUUACCGGCCAUCUCCUUGCUAUUCCUUCUCCCCGCAGCAAAUUUCAUCUGAUUUUUAAGGAUGGCAAACAGACCUUCAGUAUCAUCUUGGAAAAUGGACUUUUGGAGAAAUAAUAUUUUGCCAGGCAAGAUUUCACAGCGAUUCCUUUGUGACUGAGACCUUUUUCUGCAUUUCUUUCCACCUGGCAGUGUACUAGAAUGUGAAUUUGCAAGGUUGGGAGCUGGCCCUUGUCUCCAGUCCAUGAGAAAAAAGCUCCCCCUAGCUGUGCUGCUCACCACACAAAUAAGCACAAAGUUUCCCUACUGUCAGGAUGGAGCUGAGGAAGAGCCUAUUACGGGCGCUUGUCAGAUACCACAAGUAGUUUGUGAGGUGUCAGCUCAGCAGCCAUCCUGGAGGGAAGGAGCACACUUUUAACUCCAUUAAAUAUCUUGGAGGCUUUUGGCAACAAAAGACACUUGACUGCCAUUUCUCCUUGCAUUUUGUUCUGCUACUUUUGGUUUAGCAUUCCCUUAAAAUGGUUUAACUAGGAGCAUUUAGGAAAUAGCCCAAACAUAUGUGAUCAUUUUUGC
Molecule: long non-coding RNA, 818 nt
Filed under: Vulpes vulpes (red fox)
Lineage: Eukaryota; Metazoa; Chordata; Mammalia; Carnivora; Canidae
Description: lncRNA (ENSVVUG00000020947.1)
Source: RNAcentral